ACUAAGGGGGUGGUUGGAAGAAGACAGCUAUGUAGGGAGAGAAGAGUGGGAAGGACUGAGACAGGGAUAGGCAGGGACCCCCACACAGAAGACUGACAAGGACAAAGAGGGCUACUGUGACCCAGAGCAGAGACAGGGCCGGAAAGGGGUGCAGGGCGAAUAGGAGAAGUAGAGGCAGUGAGAAGGGAGGAAAAGUGGAGAGGACAGGAGCAGAGGUGAGGUGAGGAAGAUGGGAGUGAGAUUGUGUGUGUGUGUGUGUGUGUGUGUGUGUGUGUGUGUGUGUGUGUGUGUGUGAGAACGGGGCAGGGUAGGACAGGAUCGGCACUGAGAUUGGCCCAUGGAGGAGUGGGGCCAGCAGGAGCCUUUGGUUUGCGAUCCCUCUGGGUGACUCUACCCUGGCUAAGGGGCCAGCUACCCCAGUCUCUCAGCCUGUUGUUAUUGCUGUGGCCACACCGGAUUGUGUGCCCCCCCAUUCCCUAGAGUCAGGCUUCUGCGGUACUGGUGGGAGCUAUUCAGGGCUGUUCUGUCUGGAUGUUGUCACCUUUGAUGACCCCUGAAGACCAGUGCCAUGUAAGGAACUGGACUCUAGACCCCAGGACAAUGAAAUCACUGUUUUGUGGGUCCUGAAGUUCUAGGCAGAGGUUGCCUUUAUUUUUAAAGUGGAGGUUACCCUAACAAAGAGCUCCAUCACAAUGCAUGACUGUGCCAAGGCUAGAGAGUGGUCUGGGUAAAAGUGGCAAAGCCUUUCCUUCCAGUGUAAGCCCCCUCCCGUCGUGGAGGUGACAGUUUCCUGGGACAGGCUUGCCCUGCACUCCGGAUGGGGCACCAGCAGCACCUCUAGCUGGGAGGUGAAGUUCUGCUUCCCUAAGGGUUCCGGGGAAGAAGGGAAUCCAGUCCUACAUUCCUAAACAGAGGGUAGGGACACAUUGGUCCCCAUGCCUCCAGUUCAUGGCAUAAGGCAAUGUCUUCCUUCUAUAGCCAAGACAGAAAUGUUGGUCUGUGACUUGUGAAUGUUGGGGACAAAGGCGUCCUUUGUGAGUCAGUUAGGAUGAGAAGGGGUGCCUUUCCUGAGCAGAAAUUGCUUGAGCUCUAUUCAGAUUUCCUUCUGGGAAAAGCAUGUUCAGAUUUCCUUCUGGGAAAACCACCGAGUAGCUGAGCAGGUCGGGACACUCAGUGCUCUAGAGUUUAGUGCUUCAGAGACGCUGCGGAGGCAUGGAUGGGCUCACCCUCUGCACCAAGUCUGGACAUGGCAGCAAAGGAGGACUCUCAGGCUGUCAGACCAGCACCACGGCUUGCAUCCCCUGAUGGAGAUUUCUUGCAGCAUCUUCUCCCAUGCGAAGGACAGCUCAGAGCAGGACAUAAGGAGGAGCCAAGGAGACGGAAGCACUACCUCUCUUCAGCUGGUACUACGAUACCUAGGCGCUGUCCAAUGGAUAGUGAGUAUUGGAGUGUUGAACUCAACCGGAUAAAGGUGAGUGCGGUAGAGAAUCCACGUGGCUGGGGCAUGAGAUUUCUAGGAGAGGAGACAAAGCAGCAGAACAGGAUUCAGGGUCUUUGAGACUCCCUGGCAUUCAGAAGGAGGCAGAAAGCAGGGAUUCUGAGGAAAUCCAAGGCUCCAAGUUUCCCAGGCUGUUCCCAGCGGCUGGGGCAGGUCCAAAGCUAGGCUUCUGCUCAUGGUUCACCUUCCCCAGCACACUCCACUUGUGUUUUCAUCCCUUGCCUGGUUCUUGGUAGGGUGACAUUUGGAAAAAGGGCUCUGCGCUUGAAAAUCUCUUUUAACACAGAUGAAGGAACUGAGGUCUUGUGGGGAUAAGAGACCUGUCUAGGUGAGCCAUUGCGGUGUGGUAGCAGACUCACCUGGAAUCAACCUGGUGCUCUGCAAUGGUAACAUGCUGUAUCCAUUAAACUUGGGGAGGUAGACUGAAGUUGGGGAUUGCUUACAAGUCUGGUGUAGGGGAGCCCCGGAAGACAGUGUGGAGGGGCGUCUGGAGUGGCUCCUGACAGCAUAUGCCUAAACCUAUGGCUCCGGCCAGAGGUAGCUCCAGUGAGCACAUGACCCUGCAGUGGCCCCCAUUUGGCGGCAAAUGACUGCCUGGCCUUUCCUGCCCUCCCCUGCUGCAGGCCCACAGACCAGGCCGGAAUGUCCUCAGGAAACUGUACCUCUCUACAGAGAGGAGCUUUGCUUCUGGAUUCCCAGCUGCAGUUCCAGCCAGGAUGUUUUGCAAUGAGCCUGGGGAGAGCAUCCAUUCCGGGAAGAUCAGGGAGUGGACUGUGCUUGCCAGCAGGGGUCUGGCCACAUGGACAGGAGAAGCCCCCGAGGAACUGAGAUUCCAGGAAGAGCACUGGAGGGAAACCUGUAAGCGACAAAGUCCAGGACUUGAACCUGGGUGGACUGCGUUUUAGCUCUAGCCUCUUCACCUGUGGACGUGCUGGGAACUUUGGAGCCAUGGAGUCCUCUAUUUUCCGGAGCCAAAUCGAGCCUCUACACUUGGGAGGGCCAACGAGUGUGUGAAGAUCUCCCAGUUGCCACAUAGCGUAGCGGCUUCCUGAAGUGUCUCUCCCAGGACCCCAAGGGCCCAGGCUUCUGAGCACAGCCACACAGCAUCAAGCCACAGAGCAUCAAGCAUCAAAAGCUGCAGUUCUUCUCUUGAACUGGCAAUGCAGCAAAGCAUUCUUUGCAUGAACAAGAUGAGCAGAAUGGGUUUGGAAAGAUCAGUCUGGAGAUCCAUGGAGACUGAAUUGGAAGAGGUCUUUGAAGUAUUUGAAGAUGACCUAUCCUUCUGAAAUAAAGAACUAUCCUCCACUGCAUCAGUAACCACUGGAGCCACAAACCCCGCCUGUACCUGAUUGGCAGAAGAGGAGCUAGAUUAUGUUCCUGAGUAGCCCUUGCCUGCCUAUAGCCCCACGGGCAUGACUGGUGUAUCGGCUUCAACCACUGGCAGCAGCCUCCCCCUCCACCAGGCUCACACUUCAUCCUCCGAUAUAGAACUCUUGAUACUAAAACCAAGGAAGUUCUGAGCCUGCUGAGAGUUCUCCCAGCAUCCUGUGCGGCAGGCCUCAGCUCCACCUCUACCCUCUGGACUGGCUCAGGUCACACGGUUGUUAAGUAGCAGAACUUGGUUCACACUUGGACUGGCUGUCCCCAAGGCAAGCUGGCAAGCAUGAUGAUGGGAUGGAUCUUCCAGAAAGCAACUUCUAGUGCUGGCUUUCUCCUGCUGUAGGGUGCCAUAGGAGUGGAGGGCAGGCAGCUGGGGCCAGGCCUGCCUCACAGAAAGAAAGACCUGUGGUCUUGAGCACUUUAGAGAGAAGAAAAAUUACAGAGGAUGAGGCCCUGGGAAAGUGGGAGUUAAUGACACAUGGUCCAAUCAUCUUUAGACAAUAAUGAUAUCAGGCAGUUACCAAAGGUCUAGUUCAAUGUCUUACCUCACAGUCCUGCUGAGUAUCUUGUGAUACAGAGAAGCUAGGUAACGUGGCCUAAGUUACAAAGCUCACUGAAAGUGAACCAGGGUCUUCAAAACCUUCUGGCCUCUUUGCCUGGCUGUCCACGAGCCUACAGGACAGGGAUGGGGGCAGUACAGCCCCUUCAUAAGCAGGUGGCAGAGUCUCAGCCACAAUGUUGUCACUUCUUCAGAGGCUGGUGUGGCUGUCUAGCAGUGUGUCAGCAUGUGAGCUCUGAAAGGGCAGAACUGCUGGCUGCCUCACUUACUGAGCUUGGGUUUUGUCUCCAGCUCCAGCAACAGUCCCUGGAGGGGCACUGGGUACCCAGUGUUCUUCUUGGUCAUCACGAUAUAAGAUAAUGAGCUGCUCACAGAGCCAGGGCUUGCCUGCACAAGACUUGCUCAAGAACAAGCAAGUCAAUAUUCUAUCAUGGUUGGAGGAAGGGGCUCAGUAGUCCCAACCCAUAUCUGAGGAACAAUAGGAAGCUGAUGACUUGUAGGGAAGGCAGAGUCAAUUUUCUUUAAGGGUGUGGGUUGGUUGACCAUGCUCCAGAGGAUGGCUCCACACUCACUGAACUCAGCAGGUGAUAAAAAAAAAAUACAUGAAUUAGGAAGGGGUUAUGGAGGUAGGGGUGGAUAUGGGAGGGAAUUAAGAGGAGUAGGUAUGAAUAUGAUCAAA
Peromyscus leucopus (white-footed mouse) is the source of this 4116-nucleotide long non-coding RNA. RefSeq lists it as uncharacterized. Lineage: Eukaryota; Metazoa; Chordata; Mammalia; Rodentia; Cricetidae. The record is from RefSeq and is a predicted model, not a curated record. The transcript has 8 exons.